Molecule: long non-coding RNA, 2643 nt
Organism: Olea europaea var. sylvestris
Lineage: Eukaryota; Viridiplantae; Streptophyta; Magnoliopsida; Lamiales; Oleaceae
Exons: 2
Source: RefSeq, a predicted model, not a curated record
UUUUUAAAAGAAAAGACGAGUUAUACCCUUCUUUUUAAGACGCACAUUUGAUGCAUUUUUAAGUAUUUUGGAUAUCUGUAUGGAUCAUUUGAUAUGUCUAUGAUGUAGUUCUCGAAAUGGCUUCAAGAUGACAUAUGCGAUUUGCAGAUUCAGCUACUAUAUGAUCAUCGGAGAUUUUUAAAGUUAGCAUGUUAUUGAAAUUCUCAAAAUACUAGUUUGGAAUGAUAUACUUUGACAAGCCGUAACAUUUUCUACGGUUGGCUGUUUCACAUGCCAUUUAUAAUGUAGAAAAUUAGGUCAUGAACAUUUAGAAAUAGUAUUAAGAAUGUAAUAUUUCGAUUUCAUUUGACAUCUCGUAAUGACUUUGAAAAUUGAGACAAAAACAUAAGGGAAAAAAAUGCAUUUGUGGGUUGGGUCGGUUAAUUAAUGGAUUGGUCACUUAAACCGAAAACAACCCAACUUGAUUUUUUAAUGGUUAAAAUUAACCAAACCAAACUAAAUUUAUAAUCCAAACCAACCCAAACUGACUUGAAUCGGUUUGGUUUGAUUGAUUUCGUCGGUUUUUCGAUUUUUUCGCCCACCUCUAAUUUGAAUGCCCUGUGUCACCGAUUUGCCCAUGUGCCAAUAUUUGUUGACUGCAGACUGUUAUUACCAUUGACCACCAGCCUACCACUUUACUGUUUGUUUUCUCUCUCCCAUCGACCACCACUUCAAGUCUUCAUUGCCAUUUCCCACUUCGGUCUUCGCUGUCACGAUGUCCAUCUCCUUCUGUGUCAUAUGAUGUGGUCUGUCACAUCUGUAUAUUUCUAACUUCUGGCCGGCUCUAAUCCAUCCGUAGUCCACUGCCAUCUUCUUGAAGGCAUGUCACAUUUCCAUUUGAUUUUAGUUAUUUUCUUCCAAUUUUAGUGUCUAUAAUGUAUUUUAGUUCUAUUUCUGAUUUAUAUAUAACUUAUUCUUGCCAAAUAAUUGUGUUUUUUCCCAUUAAUUGUGUUUUCUGAUUUAGUGUUUUCCAAUUUGGGAUUUAGGAUUUUUCGAUUUAUGACUUUCUUUUUUAUAUGUAAAUUGAUUUAGGAAGAUUGAAACUUUGUUUGAAUUCUGGUAGGUAUGACUUAGAAGAAGAAAUUGAUUUUUAGGGAUUUCUAAUAUUGUCGAUUUUAGUUUAUUCUCAAUGUUAGUUGAUGAAUCUCGAGACAAUUCAGUAAAGGAUCAAAUGUCAGUUAUCAUUCGUUAUGUGAAGAAUGAGUGUGUAUUAGAAUAUUUUUAUUGGUGUCAUUUAUGUUUCGAGUACCACAGCUGCUUCACUUAAGGCUGCAAUUAAUUAAUUAUUCUCAAUGCAUAGCUUAAGCAUGACUAAUUUGAGAGGUCAGUUAUAUGAUGGAGCUAGUAACAUGUGAGGUGAAUAUAAUGGCCUUAAAGCACUUAUUUUAAAAGAAAACCCAAAUGCUUACUACAUUUGUUGCUCUGCUCAUUAACAUGAACUAGCUUUUGUAGUUGUAACACAGAAACAUCUGAAGAUUGAAACUUUCUUCACUACAGUACACAAAUUGGUGUAUAUUGUUGGAAGAUCAGCUAAACGGAGUUAUCCUAUUUGAGAGAACCAAAGAUUGAAAAUUCUUGAAUAAUUCAGUAUUGGUAGAAUAUCAAGCAAGUGAAAUCUCAAUCAAGAAAUUACUCUUUAGCGUCCUGGUGAUGCACAUUGGGGUUCUCACUAUAGUUGUUUAAUUAACUUGAUUGUCAUGUUUCAAAAAAUAGUCGACUUUAUUGAGAUAAUUGCGAUUGACACUACAAGUGCCAGAACAAGUGGCGAUGCACGUAUUUCAUUUGAGUUGAUGUUAAGAUUUGAAUUUACAUUUAAUCUACAUCUCAUUAAAAAGAUUUUAGGGAUUUCAAACGAAUUGUAGAGAGCAUUACAAAAAAAUAAAAAAUAAAAAAAAAUCAAGAUAUUGUCAAUGUUAUGAGAUUGGUGCAAAUAUAUAAAGCACAGCUCCAAACCAUGAUGGAUAAUGGAUGGGAUCUUUUUGGACUAGUUUGUUCGUUCUGGGAAACUCAUAAGAUCAAUGUUCCCAUAUGGAUGAUAUGUUCAUAACUCUAGGCUGUUCAAGGCGUGAGUCAGUGACAAAUUUGCAUCAUUUUCGUGUGGAAACGUUUUAUGCCAUAAUUGAUGUGCAACUUCAAGAGUUGAAUCAUCAUUUUUCCAAGGAUCAAAGUGAUUUGACUAUGUCAGUAUUAUCUGGUAGAUUUUGAUGCGACGGGCAUAUCAAAACUUGAUCAAUUAGAUACAUAUAUUCUCGAUAUGCGCACUUCCUAAGAUUUUGAAGGAUUACAAGGCAUUGGUGAUGUUGCGCAGUAGUUGGUUGCAAAGAAUAAACAUGAAGUAUAUCCAUUAGUCUACAAGUUUGUGACAUUAGCUUUAGUUCUUCCUAUGGCUACUGUCACAGUCGAGAGAGCAUUUUCUGCGAUGACUUACGUUAAAAUGUGUCUGAGGAUCCGAAUCGGAGAUCAAUGGUUGAAUAAUAGUUUGAUUGCAUAUAUUGAGAAAGAUAUUUUCAACAAGAUUGAAAAUCAUGUAACUAUAGAACGUUAUCAAAGUAUGAGAAUACGUAGAAAACAAUUGUAAUAAGAUAUCUCUUACUUUAAUUUUCA